GGCUCAGGAUGAACGCUGGCGGCGUGCUUAACACAUGCAAGUCGAACGAUGAUCCCAGCUUGCUGGGGGAUUAGUGGCGAACGGGUGAGUAACACGUGAGUAACCUGCCCUUAACUCUGGGAUAAGCCUGGGAAACUGGGUCUAAUACCGGAUAUGACUCCUCAUCGCAUGGUGGGGGGUGGAAAGCUUUUUGUGGUUUUGGAUGGACUCGCGGCCUAUCAGCUUGUUGGUGAGGUAAUGGCUCACCAAGGCGACGACGGGUAGCCGGCCUGAGAGGGUGACCGGCCACACUGGGACUGAGACACGGCCCAGACUCCUACGGGAGGCAGCAGUGGGGAAUAUUGCACAAUGGGCGCAAGCCUGAUGCAGCGACGCCGCGUGAGGGAUGACGGCCUUCGGGUUGUAAACCUCUUUCAGUAGGGAAGAAGCGAAAGUGACGGUACCUGCAGAAGAAGCGCCGGCUAACUACGUGCCAGCAGCCGCGGUAAUACGUAGGGCGCAAGCGUUAUCCGGAAUUAUUGGGCGUAAAGAGCUCGUAGGCGGUUUGUCGCGUCUGCCGUGAAAGUCCGGGGCUCAACUCCGGAUCUGCGGUGGGUACGGGCAGACUAGAGUGAUGUAGGGGAGACUGGAAUUCCUGGUGUAGCGGUGAAAUGCGCAGAUAUCAGGAGGAACACCGAUGGCGAAGGCAGGUCUCUGGGCAUUAACUGACGCUGAGGAGCGAA
RNAcentral lists this ribosomal RNA (722 nucleotides) under Arthrobacter oryzae. Its description in RNAcentral is "bacterial SSU rRNA". It matches the Rfam family "Bacterial small subunit ribosomal RNA", at positions 21 to 757 of the family's 1533-position model. Lineage: Bacteria; Bacillati; Actinomycetota; Actinomycetes; Micrococcales; Micrococcaceae. The record is from RNAcentral.